RNAcentral lists this long non-coding RNA (2215 nucleotides) under Olea europaea (common olive). Its description in RNAcentral is "long non-coding RNA (OEUR_LNC012366)". The record is from RNAcentral. Lineage: Eukaryota; Viridiplantae; Streptophyta; Magnoliopsida; Lamiales; Oleaceae.
CGGUGGUGGGUCAGGUGACUGAGGUUAAUAAGGACACCUUUUGGCCCAUUGUUAAAGCUGCCGGUGAUAAGACUGUCGUCCUCGAUAUGUACACUCAGUGGUAACAAUAUCAUUUCCCCCUUCAACUUUUUCCCUCCUUUAAAUUUUGAGUACUUUCCAAUUGAUCUUGUUUUAAACUUUCAUUUGUGAAUCAUGGAUUUUGAAUUCUUACCUAAGCCUGUUGUGAAUUGAAAGAUGGAACUUAAAAUAGUGGAUUUUGAAAUCCAUUCAAACUCGAAUCCUUCGUCAAAACCAAAUCCAUCAAUCCAAAUGCAAGCUCUGUAUAAUUUAGCUCAGCCAUUUUUUACUAGGAUCGAGGAUUUCAUGUUCACUUGGGGUCCGUUUGAUUACAGAGAUGGAAUUGAAUUGAAUUGAAUUGAAUUGAAAACGAAUUUCAAGAAUUUAAUUGCCUAGAAAUUAUUUUCUUGAGAAUUGUAAAUUAUGGGUUUGAUUGGUAUAAUUUUUCACGUGGAAAAUGUUGAAAUAAAAUUGUUUUUUAGUGUUCGUUUGGCUUUGUUUUACAUUAAAAUUGUCGAUUAAAGGGAUAUAAUUUAUUGGUAUUGGGGAUAAAUUUGUUUCAAUUGUCAACAAAAAAAAAAAAAUAAUAAUCAAGAAAAUCAACUAUCUUUUGGUGUUCGUUUGACUUUCUUUUCCAUGAAAAUUGUUAGUUAAAGGGAAAUAAUUUUUUACAAUAAUUUUUAGAAUUUGUUUUCACUGCCCCAAAAAAAAAAUAAUAAAUAAAUAAAAUAAAAAUCGAAAAAAAUGCUACAGUUACCUGGAAAACGAAUUCUCACCAAUAUGAUGAGAAUUCGAAUUCAAGAAAAAGCUAGAAAAUGCUGAUGUGGAGGCCAAAGGUGGAAAACGAAUUCCUUGGAAAAUUUUGUCAAUCAAACAAGCCAAAAGUGGAAGUUGAAAUUUGUUUUCCAUUUUCCCUAGAAAAUAAGUGGCUAUCAAACAUAGCGUUAUACUCUCGUAGUUUUCCAUCCCUAGGAACCUCUGCUUCUGGCUGCUUAUUUGAGAAUUUUGACAGAUAAUCUGGAGGAGAAAAAAAUCAUUACUCGCAAAUACUUUUAUAUGGGAUCAUCGAUACACAUUCUUGAUUAUUCUAUAAAAUUUUCCAAUGUGAGAUUGUCAGCCAUAUUCACUAUGACAUGGAGUUUCUUACUAGUGCAUAAUUAUAUGCACUUUGUUGGUACUUGGUUCUCAUCGUUAUAGACACUUGUGUGUGUGAAUUCUUGCUCAUUCCAAUUUAAUGCCUUGUCUAGUAGAAGUUUUAUGUUAAUCAUAGCAGGCCUAAUGGAUGAUGUUUAACCAUUUCAUUUAAAAGGUUAAGCCGUUAAUAUUUAUUUCAUUAAAUUUCAUCUUCGUCUCAGCCUUUAAUGUGUAGACUAGAUUCAUUUUUUAUCGGAUGCUUUAUGUGUGCACAAUAUAAUAAUGGAUUUUGAGAGACUUGAAGAAGGUACGAGCCUGCUUUAAUACCGUAUUGAACCAGUUCAUUCAAAAGUAUAAGAGUUUAAGCUGUUAGAAAGACACGUAGUUAUUCAAUUAAAUUUAGUAUUCAGCAAUUACAUCAUUGAGGAAUCCUAAUUUAUGCGCGCUUGGUGGUAGAUCAAGAGCUGAAAUAUUGAGGGCUGUUGGAUAGUUGUAAGUUGUAACAUCUGGUGCAAAUUAGGAAUCUACAAGAUUGAAAUAUUUUGCUUCCCUUUUCAAAUAACAUUUUUGCUUAGAUCAAAUUUUCUAUUUGAAUUUUUACUUGCAGGUGUGGUCCUUGUAAGGUGAUUGCUCCAAAAUUUCAAGAAUUGUCUAAGGAAUAUCUUGAUGUUGUCUUCCUAAAGUUGGACUGCAACAACGAUAACAAGGUUCUCUCUCUCUCUCUCUCUCUCUCUCUCUGUGACACAAACGUGCGCGCGCACGCAACUGUGGUCUGAUCUGAUAAUUUCUUGACAGCCACUGGCAAAGGAGUUGGGAAUUAAGGUGGUUCCAACCUUCAAGAUAUUGAAGGAUAGCAAGAUAGUUAAAGAAGUUACGGGAGCCAAAUUCGAUGAUAUAGUUGUGGCAAUCAAUAAUGCAAGAUCCCGUUAAUAUGCUUUCGCUUCCCCGCCCCCUCCCCCUUGUAAACUGUAACUUGGUUAUAGUACAUACAUGAACUUAAUGGAAUUGAUUAUUAAGAACCUAC